This is a Y RNA of Callithrix jacchus (white-tufted-ear marmoset), 96 nucleotides long. It matches the Rfam family "Y RNA". Rfam says of the family: Y RNAs are components of the Ro ribonucleoprotein particle (Ro RNP), in association with Ro60 and La proteins. The Y RNAs and Ro60 and La proteins are well conserved, but the function of the Ro RNP is not known. In humans the RNA component can be one of four small RNAs -- hY1, hY3, hY4 and hY5. The record is from Ensembl. NCBI's taxonomy places the organism in Eukaryota, Metazoa, Chordata, Mammalia, Primates, Cebidae.
GGCUGGUCCGAUGGUAGCAGGUUAGUAGAACUUAUUAACAUUAGUGUCACUAAAGUUGGUAUACAACCCCCUACUGCUAAAUUUGACUGGCUUUUA